RNAcentral lists this ribosomal RNA (409 nucleotides) under uncultured bacterium. Its description in RNAcentral is "bacterial SSU rRNA". It matches the Rfam family "Bacterial small subunit ribosomal RNA", at positions 350 to 750 of the family's 1533-position model. The record is from RNAcentral.
AGCAGUGGGGAAUAUUGGACAAUGGGCGAAAGCCUGAUCCAGCCAUGCCGCGUGUGUGAAGAAGGUCUUCGGAUUGUAAAGCACUUUAAGUUGGGAGGAAGGGCAGUUACCUAAUACGUGAUUGUUUUGACGUUACCGACAGAAUAAGCACCGGCUAACUCUGUGCCAGCAGCCGCGGUAAUACAGAGGGUGCAAGCGUUAAUCGGAAUUACUGGGCGUAAAGCGCGCGUAGGUGGUUUGUUAAGUUGGAUGUGAAAUCCCCGGGCUCAACCUGGGAACUGCAUUCAAAACUGACUGACUAGAGUGUGGUAGAGGGUGGUGGAAUUUCCUGUGUAGCGGUGAAAUGCGUAGAUAUAGGAAGGAACACCCAGUGGCGAAGGCGACCACCUGGACCAACACUGACACUGAG